Molecule: long non-coding RNA, 1158 nt
Organism: Armigeres subalbatus
Lineage: Eukaryota; Metazoa; Arthropoda; Insecta; Diptera; Culicidae
Exons: 4
Source: RefSeq, a predicted model, not a curated record
CCGAAGACGAACGCGCGCCAUAUUUGUUUUUACUUUGUCGCGGUUUGCAAUCGCUUUGAAUUUGUUAAUUUUUUCAUAAUCCCGGAACAACGUACUGCCAUGGGAUUCCGGAAGCCAUAUGGGAAAGAUCGUCGAAAAUCAGCUGGUUUUUUUUUGUCACGAAAAAACAUUCACGCUUGCUGUCAUGAAAUUCCGUUAUCGGUUAUCGGUUGCAGUCAUUCGACCAGAAUAUUUCUUAUAAUCUCAGAACCGCUCUUUCUAUGACACUUUACCGAGGACACCCAAUCUACGGAGACUACGGAGGUCAACGACGGCCAGUGAGUGAUGGAGGAAACAACUCGAUAGUUCACUAUAGGAACGGUGCUGGUGCUUACCGGGAAGAGCUGGAAUCAACGACGUAUUAUGUGAUUCGGGUGAUCAAGCGAUGACAGGUUCCAAUGAGCAAAAUCUCUGCUAAAACAAGCUCUGAUCAAUAUGACGGGCGACCUCAUCCUGUGUUCCGGAUUUUCAAUCGUUUAAUGGACUAAAGGGUGUAUUUGCCAACAUCGCUUUUAACAAUCGAGGCGACGCUCACCACCACACUUCACCAAUGUCUAGGAUGAUCCGGACCGGACAUGGUUUUGAAAAUUGUUCACACAUCGCUGCAGCAGACACAAGCUUUCAGGCGUAGUUUCAGACUACCACCAGAUGGAUGCAACACGUGUUUGAUGUCGUCCAAGAACACCUACGUCCGCGCCGCACGGUGAUGUUAUUUCCACGGUGGUGAUUCAUCUCAAAUAAGCCUGGUAGUUUCGAUUGAGCAGCCUCACCUUUCGUCAUGUCAUUUCACAGAAUCGGAAGAUCAUAUUCAAGGCGACAUGCUACCCCUGAGUGAUAUUUCCAUCACCCAUUACGCUGCGGAUGGCCCGAGCAGGACAACGAAUCAUUACUCUAUAUAGGUCUCCAAUAGGCGAACAAUACUAACGAUGCGAGAAAAAUGUUAACCGACAGCGAAAUCAAUCAUUCAAUAUGUUGAAUUUCGCUAUGCCGUUUCAGCUGUAUAAAAAAAUAACCCGGUCUGUCGGCAUAAAAAUAAUUUUCUCUAUAGAAAUUGUAUGCAAAAGAAAAAAAAAUGUGAACUAUAAAAUUGUAUUUUUAGAUGCAAAUUCAAUAAAGAAU